AGCAGCCGCGGUAAUUCCAGCUCCAAUAGCGUAUAUUAAAGUUGUUGCAGUUAAAAAGCUCGUAGUUGAAUUUCGGGAUCAAUAUGUCUGUCGUGCCUUCGGUACGUACGGGUAUAAUUGGUUUCUACCUUCUGAUGAACCUUGAUGCCAUUAAUUUGGUGUCUUGGGGACUCAGGACUGUUACCUUGAAAAAAUUAGAGUGUUUAAAGCAGGCAUGCGCUUGAAUACAUUAGCAUGGAAUAAUGAAAUAGGACGUUCGAUUCUAUUUUGUUGGUUUCUAGGAUCGACGUAAUGAUUAAUAGGGAUAGUUGGGGGCAUUAGUAUUCAAUUGUCAGAGGUGAAAUUCUUGGAUUUAUUGAAGACUAACUACUGCGAAAGCAUUUGCCAAGGAUGUUUUCAUUAAUCAAGAACGAAAGUUAGGGGAUCGAAGACGAUCAGAUACCGUCGUAGUCUUAACCAUAAACUAUGCCGACUAGGGAUCGGAUGAUGUUAAUUUUUUAAUGA
RNAcentral lists this small RNA (504 nucleotides) under uncultured Glomus. Its description in RNAcentral is "SSU rRNA". It matches the Rfam family "Eukaryotic small subunit ribosomal RNA", at positions 569 to 1077 of the family's 1831-position model. The record is from RNAcentral. Lineage: Eukaryota; Fungi; Glomeromycota; Glomeromycetes; Glomerales; Glomeraceae.